RNA transcript from Hemibagrus wyckioides, 2072 nucleotides. It is a transcript of the gene named polymerase (DNA directed), gamma 2, accessory subunit, with no coding region annotated. NCBI's taxonomy places the organism in Eukaryota, Metazoa, Chordata, Actinopteri, Siluriformes, Bagridae. The record is from RefSeq and is a predicted model, not a curated record. The transcript has 8 exons.
AUCUCGUAUUUCCGGGUCUCUUUAAGGUCGCUGUUUCCACGUGUAAUAUUAUGAAAACAUCAGUAAGGUUAAAAGGUUCUCGCGUGAGAUCUGAAAAUCUAAGUUAGCCCUGACUCUACGAUGCUUACCUACUGUAUGAGAAAGCGACUUUGUCGUGUGAAUUCGAACCUGCUGCAGUUCUAUAAACACUACGGGAAGAGCAGCGAUGGAGGAUCUGAUCCAGCCAGUAGCAUGAUGCAGCUGCUCCAGCGGCGGUUCUUCAUCCCUCCAGAAGACUAUCAUGCUGUGUCUUUACUCAAAGGCAAGGCCUGUGCGUAUGGACCCUUAGGAGUGGAUCUGAAGAGGAACAUGUUAGAGCAGUGGUGGUCUUCUAUGGUCAGAUCAAGACCUCAGGUGUUUGGGAUAAGCACCCUUCAUGGAGUAGGAGAUAAGGGUGCAGGAGAAGUUGAGGAUCUGUCUAAAGAGAGCAAGCUUGUUCGGCGGAGGCAACCUUUCCGGACCAGUCUCCUUCAAGGUGCUUUGGCGCAGUACAUCCCAUCCCUGGAGCUCAUGAACAGGAAGCUGCCGUUUGGUCUGGCUGAAACGGGUCUGUGUUACCGGCCUGAAGAGGAUGACUCUGAUGCAAUCGGUUGCUCUGCAGAGGUGACUGAGGCGUCGCUCGUGUGGUUCUGUUCCUUCCGGACGUCCUUGCAGUGGCUCGACUACUGGACACAACACAGACUACAGUGGUGGAGAAAGUUUGCUUUAGGGCCAUCUGACUUCAGCAUGUGUGACGUUCAGGAUGAUGAGCUAAUCGACGGCGCGUCCCGUGGAGCGAAGGUGCUCUAUAAGUUCCCCUGGGGCACAGAGACGCUGGAAACACUGUGGAUGUUCAGCGAAGCGGAGCUGCUCAAGAGGCACCCGAGCAAUCAAGCCAAACUAGAAUGCAGAGACGGGAAGAAAGCUGUAGUGCCUCAUGUCCUCUCUCUCGGUGCGAAUAUGGACAGGGGAGUCCUGGCUGUCCUCCUGAACUCCUUACAGGACAUCCAGAAAGUGGACAACAAGCAGAGGCUUCAUCAGAGAACAGUGUUGAAGCUACAUCCUACAUUAGCUCCGGUUAAAGUGGCACUGGAUAUGGGCAAAGGAUCCACCUCAGAGCUCAGACAGAAUCGAACUUUUAACAGAAUUUAUUACAUCAACCAUUGAUCCCUAAUGAGCAAGCCAGACGCGAUGAUGUUGAGGAUGAACUCCGAGACGACAUCAGGAAGAAAUCAUGAGAGGAAGCAGACUCGUAAGGAAACGCAUCCUCGUCUGGGUGAUACCGGACGAGUGUGAUUUAUAAAUCGUUUCCCUUCUACAACAAAUAUUAAAAUAAAUAAAUAAAAUUUUGUGAUUUUUUUUUUUUAUCCGUUUUAAGAAGGGGGAGCUAAACGUGUCCUCGCAAAUCACAAGGCUGAUGUCGGUUUUUCAGUUAACUAUGCGUGUUUCUGAUCUCACUUUGUCUUUCGACUCAGAAAUGUAAAACUAGUCUUAGGGAGCUCUGGAAAUAGUGCCGGUUGAAACUAACAUUAGGACGACGUUAAAAUGGAAUUUAGGCUGGUUUAGUCGUGUCUUUGUCAUGUCACACUCCACAGUGGUGGAUAAUAUGAAGCUCAUAUGAAAGUAGACACUCGGGACCUUAAGGAUUUAUAGUUUUUAAUAAGUAUUUCUUUAAUCUAGCCGAUUAGGGGAAUAAAUCGUUAUAUUUUUCCACCGAAUUGUUUCUAUCAUGUUGAUAUCAAACCCAUGUCUGCUCUCUGAGACGCCCCAUCAUAAACAUCUAUCAUUUCAAGGCGUUAUCAUCAACCACUGUUGACAACUCCGUGUAAGGUUAUCCCAACAGAGGAGAAAAAACACACCCCUCAUACUGAAAGAGUCCUAACUUGGGUUAUAAAUAUCUUAAAGGUGUGUGAGGGUCUUCUUCACGAACUCCUAGAAGUAGGAAUCAGUGCAUGGCCUGGAUACAUGGACACCACACAUUCCUCCAUGGACAAACUGCACACCAAGUAUGAUGAGAUGGGAGUGCUGUUUACGGUGAUGGUCGGAGAGAACAC